RNAcentral lists this ribosomal RNA (433 nucleotides) under uncultured bacterium. Its description in RNAcentral is "partial 16S ribosomal RNA". It matches the Rfam family "Bacterial small subunit ribosomal RNA", at positions 29 to 507 of the family's 1533-position model. The record is from RNAcentral.
AACGAACGCUGGCGGCAUGCCUAACACAUGCAAGUCGAACGAGACCUCCGGGCUUAGUGGCGCACGGGUGGUUACCGCGUGGGAACUAGCACGUAGGUUAGGUACACUUCCCCUUAGGGUGACCUCAGGAAAGUGGGGGUCAUACGGCCAAAGAUGUAUUGCCUUUGGGUGGGCCCGCGUUGGAUUAGCUAGUUGGUAGGGUAAAAGCCGACCAAGGCGUCGAUCCAUAGCUGGUGUGAGAGGAUGAUCAGCCACACUGGGCGUGAGACACGGCCCAGACUCCUACGGGAGGCAGCAGUGGGGAAUAUUGGACGAUGGGCGAAGGCCUGAUCAAGCAAUGCCGCGUGAGUGAUGAAGGCCUUAGGGUUGUAAAGCUCUUUUACCCGGGAUGAUAAUGACAGUACCGGGAGAAUAAGCACCGGCUAACUCCGUG